CUCGUAGGCGGUUCGUCGCGUCCGGUGUGAAAGUCCAUCGCUUAACGGUGGAUCCGCGCCGGGUACGGGCGGGCUUGAGUGCGGUAGGGGAGACUGGAAUUCCCGGUGUAACGGUGGAAUGUGUAGAUAUCGGGAAGAACACCAAUGGCGAAGGCAGGUCUCUGGGCCGUUACUGACGCUGAGGAGCGAAAGUGUGGGGAGCGAACA
This 207-nucleotide ribosomal RNA is filed under the name uncultured bacterium. Its description in RNAcentral is "partial 16S ribosomal RNA". It matches the Rfam family "Bacterial small subunit ribosomal RNA", at positions 568 to 774 of the family's 1533-position model. The record is from RNAcentral.